GCCACAGCACCGCAUGGUGCAGGGGUAAAAACUCCGGUGGUGUGAGAUGGGCCCGCGUCUGAUUAGGUAGUUGGUGAGGUAACGGCUCACCAAGCCGACGAUCAGUAGCCGACCUGAGAGGGUGACCGGCCACAUUGGGACUGAGACACGGCCCAAACUCCUACGGGAGGCAGCAGUGGGGAAUAUUGCACAAUGGGGGAAACCCUGAUGCAGCGACGCCGCGUGAGCGAUGAAGUAUUUCGGUAUGUAAAGCUCUAUCAGCAGGGAAGAAACUGACGGUACCUGACUAAGAAGCACCGGCUAAAUACGUGCCAGCAGCCGCGGUAAUACGUAUGGUGCAAGCGUUAUCCGGAUUUACUGGGUGUAAAGGGAGCGUAGACGGACUUGCAAGUCUGAAGUGAAAGCCCGGGGCUCAACCCCGGGACUGCUUUGGAAACUGUAGGUCUAGAGUGCUGGAGAGGUAAGUGGAAUUCCUAGUGUAGCGGUGAAAUGCGUAGAUAUUAGGAGGAACACCAGUGGCGAAGGCGGCUUACUGGACAGUAACUGACGUUGAGGCUCGAAAGCGUGGGGAGCAAACAGGAUUAGAUACCCUGGUAGUCCACGCCGUAAACGAUGACUGCUAGGUGUCGGGGAGCAAAGCUCUUCGGUGCCGCAGCUAACGCA
This 663-nucleotide ribosomal RNA is filed under the name uncultured bacterium. RNAcentral describes it as "bacterial SSU rRNA". It matches the Rfam family "Bacterial small subunit ribosomal RNA", at positions 173 to 859 of the family's 1533-position model. The record is from RNAcentral.